This 565-nucleotide ribosomal RNA is filed under the name Micromonospora sp. 415C08. RNAcentral's name for it is "bacterial SSU rRNA". It matches the Rfam family "Bacterial small subunit ribosomal RNA", at positions 93 to 671 of the family's 1533-position model. The record is from RNAcentral. Lineage: Bacteria; Bacillati; Actinomycetota; Actinomycetes; Micromonosporales; Micromonosporaceae.
GAGCGGCGAACGGGUGAGUAACACGUGAGCAACCUGCCCUAGGCUUUGGGAUAACCCUCGGAAACGGGGGCUAAUACCGAAUAUUACUUCUGGUCGCAUGACUGGGGGUGGAAAGUUUUUCGGCCUGGGAUGGGCUCGCGGCCUAUCAGCUUGUUGGUGGGGUAAUGGCCUACCAAGGCGACGACGGGUAGCCGGCCUGAGAGGGCGACCGGCCACACUGGGACUGAGACACGGCCCAGACUCCUACGGGAGGCAGCAGUGGGGAAUAUUGCACAAUGGGCGGAAGCCUGAUGCAGCGACGCCGCGUGAGGGAUGACGGCCUUCGGGUUGUAAACCUCUUUCAGCAGGGACGAAGCGCAAGUGACGGUACCUGCAGAAGAAGCGCCGGCCAACUACGUGCCAGCAGCCGCGGUAAGACGUAGGGCGCGAGCGUUGUCCGGAUUUAUUGGGCGUAAAGAGCUCGUAGGCGGCUUGUCGCGUCGACUGUGAAAACCCGCGGCUCAACCGCGGGCCUGCAGUNCGAUACGGGCAGGCUAGAGUUUCGGUAGGGGAGACUGGAAUUCCU